This 2910-nucleotide ribosomal RNA is filed under the name metagenome. RNAcentral describes it as "bacterial LSU rRNA". It matches the Rfam family "Bacterial large subunit ribosomal RNA". The record is from RNAcentral.
AUAAGAGCGUAGGGUGGAUGCCUUGGCACUAGGCGCCGAUGAAGGACGUGACAAGCUGCGAAAAGCUACGGGGAGCUGCAAAUAAGCGUUGAGCCGUAGAUAUCCGAAUGAGGAAACUCACUGUUGGUAAUGCGACAGUAUCUAUGCAUGAAUUCAUAGUGUAUAGAGGGGAACCCGGAGAACUGAAACAUCUAAGUACCCGGAGGAAGAGAAAGUAAACAAACGAUUUCCUAAGUAGUGGUGAGCGAAAGGGAAAGAGCCCAAACCGACGCAUAGCGAUAUGCGAAGGGGUAGCGGACUGCAUAAAUGCACUAUAACAAGAUAGAUGAAGGAACUGGAAAGUUCUGCCAAAGAGGGUGACAGCCCCGUAGUUGAAAUUUUGUUUAGGCAUGCAGUAUCCAGAGUACCACAGGACACGAGAAAUCCGGUGGGAAUACAGGAGGACCAUCUCCUAAGGCUAAAUACGACCUAGUGACCGAUAGAGUAUAGUACCGUGAGGGAAAGGUGAAAAGAACCCCGGGAGGGGAGUGAAAGAGAACCUGAAACCCUAUGCUUACAAACAGACAUAGCACUACUAAAUAGUGUGGUGUCGUACUUUUUGUAGAACGGGCCGGCGAGUUACGUUGUGUAGCGAGGUUAAGGCAUUAAGUGCUGGAGCCGAAGCGAAAGCGAGUCUGAACAGGGCGACAUUAGUUGCAUGGCGUAGACCCGAAACCGGAUGACCUAACCAUGAACAGGUUGAAGCAGUGGUAAGACAUUGUGGAGGACCGAACCCACGCUCGUUGAAACGAUCGGGGAUGAUUUGUGGUUAGCGGAGAAAUUCCAAUCGAAUCCGGAGAUAGCUGGUUCUCCUCGAAAUAGCUUUAGGGCUAGCCUCUGUUUAGAGUACUGAAGGUAGAUCACUGAUUGGGCUAGGGGGCUUCACAGCUUACUGAACCCUAUUAAAAUCCAAAUGACAGAUACUUGAUGACAGGGAGUCAGACGAUGGGAGAUAAGUUUCAUUGUCAAAAGGAAAACAGUCCAGACCUACAACUAAGGUCCCCAAGUAAUAGUUAAGUGGUAAAGGAUGUGUCACCGCUAAAACAACCAGGAUGUUGGCUUAGAAGCAGCCACUCAUUUAAAGAGUGCGUAAUAGCUCACUGGUCGAGUGGUGGUGCGCCGAAAAUUAUCGGGGCUAAAACUAUACACCGAAGUUUAGGAAUACAGAAUUACUGUAUUGGUAGAGGAGCAAUGUAUGGAGGCAGAAGCGUAAGCGGAAGCGUGCGUGGACGACAUACAAGAGAGAAUGCCGGCAUGAGUAGCGAGAAUGCAGUGAGAAACUGCAUCGUCGAAUGUCUAAGGUUUCCUGGGGAAGGUUCGUCCGCCCAGGGUUAGUCGGGAACUAAGGCGAGGCCGAAAGGCGUAGUCGAUGACCAACUGGUAGAUAUUCCAGUACCACCGAAAUACGACAAAGAAAUGAAGCAAUGACACAGAAGGAUAGUCUAAGCGCGAUGAUGGACAUUUGCGCCCAAAUCAUGAGGCUGGUGUGUAGUGAAGUACGCACACUGUUAAGGCUAGGUGAUGACGGGGAGUGAAAAUUAGUAACGAAGUAGAUGAAUUCACGCUGGCGAGAAAAGUUGCUAAAUAGUAUUUUAGGUGCCCGUACCGCAAACCGACACAGGUAGACGGCAAGAAAAUUGUAAGACGGACGGGAUAACUCUUGUUAAGGAACUCUGCAAAAUUGCCCCGUAACUUCGGAAGAAGGGGUGCCACAGCGAUGUGGCCGCAGUGAAGAGGCCCGAGCGACUGUUUACCAAAAACACAGGUUUCUGCGAAUUCGAAAGAAGACGUAUAGGAGCUGACGCCUGCCCAGUGCUGGAAGGUUAAGGGGACAUGUUAGCGCAAGCAAAGCAUAGAACUUAAGCCCCAGUGAACGGCGGCCGUAACUAUAACGGUCCUAAGGUAGCGAAAUUCCUUGUCAGGUAAGUUCUGACCCGCACGAAUGGCGUAACGACUUGGGCGCUGUCUCAACAAGAGGCCCGGCGAAAUUGUAGUAUACGUGAAGAUGCGUAUUACCCGCGACUGGACGGAAAGACCCCGUAGAGCUUUACUGUAGCUUGAUAUUGGGAUCCGGUAAUUCAUGUACAGGAUAGGUGGGAGACUUGGAAGCAGGGGCGUCAGCUUCUGUGGAGUCACCCUUGGGAUACCACCCUUGAAUUAUUGGGUUUCUAACGCUGUGCCAUAGACCUGGGCAGCGGACAGUGUCAGGUGGGCAGUUUGACUGGGGCGGUCGCCUCCUAAAGAGUAACGGAGGCGUUCAAAGGUUCCCUCAGAAUGGUUGGAAACCAUUCGCAGAGCGUAAAGGCAUAAGGGAGCUUAACUGCGAGAUAGACAUAUCGGGCAGGUACGAAAGUAGGACUUAGUGAUCCGGCGGUAGUUCAUGGAAAUGCCGUCGCUUAACGGAUAAAAGUUACCUCGGGGAUAACAGGCUUAUCUCCCCCAAGAGUUCACAUCGACGGGGAGGUUUGGCACCUCGAUGUCGGCUCGUCACAUCCUGGGGCUGAAGUAGGUCCCAAGGGUUCGGCUGUUCGCCGAUUAAAGUGGCACGCGAGCUGGGUUCAGAACGUCGUGAGACAGUUCGGUCCCUAUCCAUCGUGGGCGUAGGAUAUUUGAAAGGAGCUGUCCCUAGUACGAGAGGACCGGGAUGGACGUACCUAUGGUGAAUCAGUUGUCGUGCCAACGGCAUAGCUGGGUAGCGAAGUACGGAAGGGAUAAACGCUGAAGGCAUCUAAGCGUGAAGCCCCCCUUAAGAUUAGAUAUCCAAGAUAGCAAUAUCGAGAGACCCCUUUUAGACUAAAAGGUUGAUAGGUCGGGUGUGGAAGUGCAGCAAUGUAUGAAGCUGACCGAUACUAAUGGUCAAAAGCUUAAUCA